Molecule: long non-coding RNA, 1345 nt
Organism: Equus asinus (donkey)
Lineage: Eukaryota; Metazoa; Chordata; Mammalia; Perissodactyla; Equidae
Source: Ensembl
CUCUGGGAAGGAAGUGGCAGAGUUCCUAAGGCUUCUGGGUUCUCAUGUGACCGACUAUGUAGAUGAGUGAGAAUUGGAACUGUCUUCACUUUUUAAAAGUGAUUGACGCUGAUGCCAUUUCUCUGAGUCUAGUGGGAGAUAUUAUUGUAGCCACACCAGCCCAAGGGAAGAUCAUUUUGCCACAUGUCUUGGAUAUGGUAAAAUAGAGCAAAGGGUUAGUCUAUGAUGCAGUGAAACUGUCUCGAAGACCACAGGUUCCUGGAAUGAGUAACCUGCCGCUGGAACUCUCCAUCAGGUGUGCACAAUUGUGUUGAUUGAUCUCCUGUUUUUAGAAGCUAGCAUUUUACAGCCAUUCAUUUUCAAUCUGGCAAUCAGGCUGAUUAAACUUUGACAAGCAUAAAGAAAAAGAAAAGGAAAUAAUAACUCCUGCUAAAUUUUAACUGGAGAAGAAAGCUGACAGCCCUGGAAGGGAGAAACGAUGAGUAUUUGAAAAAUAAAAUUUGAAAAAUAAAAUUUGAAAAAACAAUGGGCACCUGGAGGAUACUUGUUAAAAUACUUGUUAAAAUAAUUAGUGAUAAAGCUUUGAAUCUCAAAUCAUCUCCAAAUGUCUUUAGCUUGAUUAACAUGAGUAAAGUGCCUUUAAGGGAUACACGAGGUGUUGGUUUUGACUAUCUUUUGGGGAGGGGUUUCAGCUCCACACGUCUGAGUUUAAAGGAUCAUUCUAAUCGCUUCAUCCUUCUCCAGUGGUUCUCAACUGGGGGCAGUUUUGCCCCCCAAGGCAUAUUUGGCAAUAUCUGGAGACAUUGUUGGUUGUCACAGCUUGGGCUGGAUGCUAAUGGCCUCUGGUGGGUGGAGGCCAAGGGUGAUGCUUAACCUCCUGUGAUGCACAGCCAGGCGCCGCAACAGGGAAUUACCCAGCUCAAAAUGUCAAUAAUGCCGAAGUUGAGAAACAAUGAUUUUUCCCGCAUGGUUCUAGACUAGGAAGUCCUUGUUUCCUUAUUUAACGGUUCUAACUAUAACCCAGAUGUCACCCAAGCUUCACUCUGUGCUUGGAGAGUUAGGUGACAUUAUGUUGGGGUCAAGCCAAUAUUCUGAGAGAGGUUCGAUGUCCUCCCCAAGAGUUUUGAAAACGUCUGGGAGCUCCUGUUCUGAAGGUCACUCGGGCUGCUAUAAACCACAGAUUUUAAUCCCACCUUCCCUCCUGUUAGUCUCUCUCUGCUCACUUCGGAAUCAGACAUGGAACUUGACCUCCCUGCCUUUUUAUAUUCACAGAAACCUCAAAUAAGACAUUAGUGUAACAGAGUUUGCUGAAACUAUUUUUUGAGGGGAGGGGUGUGUAUUCUGG